This 85-nucleotide transfer RNA is filed under the name Methanobacteriota archaeon. RNAcentral's name for it is "Euryarchaeota archaeon tRNA-Leu". It matches the Rfam family "tRNA". Rfam says of the family: Transfer RNA (tRNA) molecules are approximately 80 nucleotides in length. Lineage: Archaea; Methanobacteriati; Methanobacteriota. RNAcentral also lists the same sequence under 1 other name. The record is from RNAcentral.
GCGUGAGUCGCCCAGCAUGGUCAAAGGCGCAGCGUUGAGGUCGCUGUCCCGUAGGGGUUCCCAGGUUCAAAUCCUGGCUCACGCA